GUGCUCGUAGCGUAAUGGGCAGGGUGCUGGGCUCAGAACCGAAAGGCUGUGGGUUCGAUUCCCAGUCGGGGCACU
RNAcentral lists this transfer RNA (75 nucleotides) under Anguilla anguilla (European eel). RNAcentral's name for it is "tRNA-OTHER". Lineage: Eukaryota; Metazoa; Chordata; Actinopteri; Anguilliformes; Anguillidae. The record is from RNAcentral.